RNAcentral lists this ribosomal RNA (253 nucleotides) under uncultured bacterium. Its description in RNAcentral is "partial 16S ribosomal RNA". It matches the Rfam family "Bacterial small subunit ribosomal RNA", at positions 524 to 776 of the family's 1533-position model. The record is from RNAcentral.
UACGGAGGGGGCUAGCGUUGUUCGGAAUUACUGGGCGUAAAGCGCGCGUAGGCGGCUUUGUAAGUCAGAGGUGAAAGCCUGGAGCUCAACUCCAGAACUGCCUUCGAAACUACAUCGCUAGAAUCAUGGAGAGGUUAGUGGAAAUCCGAGUGUAGAGGUGAAAUUCGUAGAUAUUCGGAAGAACACCAGUGGCGAAGGCGACUAACUGGACAUGUAUUGACGCUGAGGUGCGAAAGCGUGGGGAGCAAACAGG